GAAAGGAGAAAAACAAGAGCAAGAACACCACAAAAUCAAGGGCCAUUCGGCCAAGACCCAAAUUUUUGCCCCUUUGAAAUAUUAUUCCAAAAAUUAUUUUCUUGUGGUAUUCCUACUAAUUCAAGGGUCCUCUACAACUUGGUGUAGUUAUUUUGGAAGAAAGGGCACUUGUUUCAUCAAUUUAGCACCUUGGACAAGUGAAGAACUUAGGAGAAAAAGAUUUUGGCGAACUUGAAACUUGAUUUUGGAGACGUGUAUGAAGCGGAAAAGGUAUGUAAGGCUUCACUCUCCCUUCUUUGGCAUGUCUUAGACAUAAUAGGUUUGAAUACGAGCCUCGGGGACGAUCCUAUCCCUAGAAAUUCGAGAUUGAAAUUAGCCCUUUUUCAUUCAAUAGAAUUGAAUUAAGUUUUUCAUAUCUUAUUGAACAAUUGCAUCUAACAUCUAUAACUUGUCAAAUGAAAUCGGAUUACACUAAAACCUUCAUAAGUGUUAUAAUUACUCUAAUGAGAAUAUUUCUAUGACGGAUAUGGUUUCAUAGUCGAAAAUCUCGAGUUAUGGGCUCAAUAUGAAUAUGAGAAAAUAAAGUUAGUUCCUAAUCCUCAAUCUUAUUUCUUGAACAUGACUUUACUUUCUAAAGACUUCAAGAACAUAAGUUGACACCUUAUAAGGUUCAUGAUCUUAUUACAUGCUUUCUCUUAAUACCAUCUUUCAUUUAUGGUCUCGCCUUACUGUACUAGUUCCUCCAAGGCGAGACAAAGUGACCAUGGUUAUUCCAUAAGAUAAUCGGAGGUUACCGACCUUAUGUCACUCCGAUACGGACACGAUUUUCUUUAGGCUCUCAUGCAUGUUGUUUAUAUGUUAUAAGUAUAUGCAUAUGUAUAUGGGGAAGAUUGGAAAAGGGAAGGCGCUAUAGACGCACAGCCACCUGAUCAGUUGGAGUAUGGUACAUGAUAUCGUCCCGGACGCGGGAUAUAUGGUUAAAUGGAUCGGAGCCGACGCCUCGGUAAUAUGACAUGUUCUAUUUUCUAUAUAUAUGAAAAGAAAUGUCUUCCUAAGAAAGUAAAGUAAUAUAUGUAUAUGGACCGGGCUGCACAUUCCACAGCAAUAUGUUAUAGUAUAUGCACAUAUGGAUCGGGCUGUACGUUCCGCAGCGUCAAGCAUGCAUGGUAUUCGCCCAAGGGCACUUAUAUGCACAGGUUAUUUUUCUACCUCAUGAUAUGCUCGGUAUUUCUUUGAUGUCGUUAUCCAUGUUCUAUAUUUCCUGUAUGUUAUUAUUCAUGCCUUACAUACUCGGUACAUUACUCGUACUGACGUCCCUUCUUGUGGACGCUGCGUUUCAUGCCACGCAGGUGAGCAGGCGGACAAGUUUGGUUCCUAGGAGCCCUAUCGGUGGUACACUAGCAGCGCUCCAGUUGUUCCGGAGCCUCAGUUUCUUGGUACUUUUUUUUGUGUACAUAUUCGGGCACGGCAGUACCCGACCCUCCUUGUUACCAUAUGUACUUUGUUAGAGGCUCGUAGAUAGACAUGUACAGUCAGAUGUUUCAUAAUCUUGGUUGUCCCUGUCGAUGUAUAUUAAAUUAGUAAAGAAAUAACGGUAUAGUUCAUACGGCCCACUUAGUAAUAAAAGUAUGAUGCGAGAUAAGGGGUGCUCGGUACAAGUAUCGGGUACCCGUCGCGGCCCCUAGUUGGGUCGUGACAGUUCGAGUCCUGAGUAUGAAAAAUCUUUGGUAGGGAGCAUUUCUCCGAGUGGGACCUAUGCAGUGUGAAUCUGAAUUUAGUAGAACUCCAAUACAAAUACCGGACACCGGGUGAAAAUCCAAAAAAAAUAAAAUAAAGGAAAAAACCAAAAGGGACCAAAUAGCCAAAAGAGAAACAGCUAAAAAUGACUAACCUAACUAUUGAUCUGCACGCCUAAACCCCUUCUCCCUUAAAACUCUCAAGCCAAAACUUAUCCCCCUUUUCCCUACUCCUUCACGUCCCUAAGUUCUGCAACACACACAUACAUCUAUAUAUCCACAACACAGAACAUACAAGGACGAAGAGUAAAGAAACACAUAUACACGGAUAGAGCAAAAAAUGCAGAGAGCAAUUACGAGUUUCCGAAAAGGUUUUGUUUGAAAUUUAUGUCGGAGUUCGAGGCUUUCAUUCGUGGUUUCUUCGUCGACCUGAAAGUUUGCUGUUAUAACUUUGGAGUUCAAUAGAUUGUAGCCGUUUUCUUGUAAUGAAUUAGUCUUCCUAAAAGGAGUAGGAGAAUUGUGGACGUGUCGAUGCAUAUCAUAACGAACCUUAUGGUGAUACAACUCCGAUAGUUACUUUCAAACUGAUGGAACAAUUUUAAGUUGAGGUUUUUGUGUAGAUCUGCGUAUAGAGUAGGAUGAGAUGGAUGUUGCAACUCGGAUGUGUUACGAGACCGUGGGAGGAGGAGAUGAGGAGAAGAGUUUAUGGCCUUGGGUCUCACGAGUAACACUAUUAUGGCCUUGGGUGCUACUUCUGGUCUUGAUAAACAUCACUCUCCAACACCACAUUAGUUAGCUUUGUUUUUUGGAUUCUAUUCUAUUAGUUGUAAAAUUAUGAACAUUGGUGAUGCUUUAGGAUUUAUGCAUUGGAUCUGCU
Molecule: long non-coding RNA, 2613 nt
Organism: Lycium barbarum (goji berry)
Lineage: Eukaryota; Viridiplantae; Streptophyta; Magnoliopsida; Solanales; Solanaceae
Exons: 4
Source: RefSeq, a predicted model, not a curated record